Brassica napus (rape) is the source of this 2819-nucleotide long non-coding RNA. RefSeq lists it as uncharacterized. Lineage: Eukaryota; Viridiplantae; Streptophyta; Magnoliopsida; Brassicales; Brassicaceae. The transcript has 6 exons. The record is from RefSeq and is a predicted model, not a curated record.
UGUACUGCUGGAGUUCAUGGGGUGUCAGUUCAAGCUCUGGGAACUGAAGUAGCCGUCGUUGGUGCCAUAGUAUGUCUUCCGACAUGAACUCCCAAGUGUUGUUCCAAAGUUUUUGAGGGUCUGAGACAUGAUUGUAAAUGAGGAUUAAUACAAACAUUUGGCGAAGAUAUCUAGGGGAAGCAAAUUGGUAUGCUUCAGUCAUUGCAUCUUGCCAUUCUUUGUCUCCAUCUAGCAAACCUCUAGCUAAGCAUGCGGCUUGAAAUGUCUCAUAUUGAACACCCCCGAAAGUGUAUAAAUCCUCAUAGCAUGUGGGACCCUUUACGAAGCUGACCAAGAUUCUGAGGUAAUACUUAUCACCAGCAUUCGGAUGGAUGUUGACAAGCCUUCCAAUGGUUCCUUUUUGCUUGCGUUUGGAGUAAACCUUAUUUGAGUUGUCCCAAACAAACAUUGUAAGCAUCUCAAUGUAUUUCAAUUGUCUGGCCUCUUCGUACAGCCUAUUCAUCUCAAACCAUUCAGUAAAUGGACAGGAAACUUUUGAACUGCUGGGCUGUUAUGAUGGACAUCGAACAUAAAGAUUCUCCACAUAGAUUCACAAGCAGACAGAUGACUUGUUGCACCAUUCAACAUUAACAUGGGCCUUGUACUUCUUGAGUAUCUGUAGAUUAUGAGGGACCACAAAAGAAUUGUUCAGAGUGAUGUUUCCUUUCUUGACAACUCUAUCAGUCUGCCUCCGACGGUACAGAACAUAGCCAGAAUCAUUUAUUUGAGUGUGAGGAACGUAGCUUCGAGGGAAUUUCUUUGUACAUACACCAUUAUCCAUACAAGGCGAAGUUGAUCUAUCUUUGCCACAUGGACCAUGCAUCAUGUGCUGCUCCACCAAACUGUAACCUUCUGGAUCUGUUUCUUUGUCUGGUAAUUCGGCUGAGAUGAUUUUAUCUAUAUCAGCACUGGUUGGAUUCUUAAAAUCACCUUCUAACCAUAGUAGUAUAUGAGCAUGCGGCAAGCCUCGCUUCUGAAACUCUAUGGUGUAGACCACUGCAAUUAAAUUUUGAGUUUAUAAGAUUUAUGUUAGUUUAAAAACAUAGUGUUAACGUGCGUAUUGUUUUUAUUAACUUGUACCUGCUUUUGGGCUGGGAAAGAACAGACCCUUCUUGAAAUCUGACAUGAGCUCGUCUAGCUUCAUUUUGAACACUCUACAUUCUAGGUCAGGACGAUCGUUUGGUUCGUCAGUCCCAUACAUCUGUAGAUGGUUUGAGAUUUCUUCCCACUUUGGAUUUGUUGUCAUUGUAACAAACAAAUCAGGAUUUCCAAACCAGCGGCAUAUAGCCAUUGCGUCAUGAUACUUCUCUGCCAUGUAUCGUGGACUGCCUGUAUAAGAAGCAGUCUGAACCAGCGCAACCUCUCCUGCUCGAUGGAGGUGUAGGCGUCAACUAUAUAUUGAUGGAGUAAGCGCUUGGAGGUCACAAUAGUCAUGCCUUCAUUCAAUCUAGUUUGAAAUUGGUAAGCAAAGUACUCUCUCUUUGUCAUGUAAGAUCUUUGUCGAGUGAUCCCAUCAAUGCUGAUAAGUGGAAGGUUCUCGUUGAAUCCUGAUUGCCCAUAAGGAAACAAUAGAGGGUAUUGCAAAGUCAUAUAGAGAGGAUGCAUAUCACUGAUCUGUUGUAGUCCUGCUGAUCUGUGGUGUACAAUUAUAUCCCUAUCUCCUAUAUCCUCCGAUAGGUCUCCAACAAUCAAACCCGCAAUCUCAUCCGUGGUGGGCAUAUCAUACUGACGACCACGUUUUGGCUGAGCUAUUAAUCUGAUACUAAACUCUUGGCAAUCAGUCUGUUCAUGAAGAUCUCGAGCUUUCCUGAACAUUUUCGCUAAGCAAUUGUGGGCAUCAAUAGUUUCAAUCAGGAUUUUAACAAUAUCACCAUCCAGUUCCCCUGCUUUUGUUGUCCUCUUCACGGUUGAGAUUCUGUUUUUAAUCUCGUUAGCUGUAUCAAAAAUGUAAAGCUGGCUGAACUUGGGACGUUUCCCUGAUUGAGGAAGCAAUGAUCCAAUCUUGUGGGAAUUUUGGCCGUGUAUUCUAAAGGUGAAAGGUCCGGCUUUGUGCAUCACUGUCGAAUCUAUUUUGGCCCCCAUUGAUGUGAAUGCCAGGAUCGAAUUGUACGUCCUGAUAUUCUGUUGGAAGUGGAGAGAGCCGGAAAGGAGUUUUUUCAGAGCUUCAGGCGGGUGGGGUUCGGGCGGGAGCUUAACUCGACCCUGUUGACAGCAUACACUGAAGACGGGAGUUCUGUUUCUGCCUGUGGUGCCUUUCUUCUCCUGUUCCCAUACAAGAGCAUGACAAAAUGGGCAUUCCUGAAGCUCAUUAUCUUUACUCUUGCGUUUACGGGUGGGCUUUGCCUGCUUAACAGCUGAUGCGUCUGCAGGCAGAUGUGUCUGGGAGAAUUGGAGAACCUGUGAUUCAAGAGCUCAUGUCAUUACAUGAUAAGAAGAUAUAAAUGAUCGGGUCUAUGGUAAGAGAGUUCGAUGAUAAACCUUUUGGUUGGAAGACAGGACUCCUCAAUAUCCAAGUCACAAGUCAUUGCCGUUAUGUGAAAGGUUUGAUGGCAUUGAAGGGGGUAAAUGUGGUCUGAACAGAGGUCUGAAUAACAGUCCAAAAUGAGGUGUUAGUUAGAUAUUUAUUCUACAACUUUCUAUAUGUUCCUAUUGUUUGAUCUCUCAUACCUUGAUUUGGUGUUUUAAAUUAUGUUUUACACGACCAUCGGAGCUUUGUACGAACUUAUACCGUAUUUUGUGGGAGUAUAGUUAAUGGUUAUAUGUGAAGUUCGUUCUUGAUA